AUUUGAUCAUUUAUUUUUUUAAAAUUUUGAUUUACUGUCUAACAUUUCAAUUUGUGUAAUUUCGGUCACUCAACAGUACUUUAAUUUCAAAAUUUGAAUGCGUCGUUUAUCAUUACAGCUUUAGUUAAUAUAUUUUAUACAAUUUUUGUAAUUAAAGUUAAAGUACUGUUGAGUGUCUAAAGUUAAACAAAUUGAAAGAUUGAAUAGUAAAAUAAAAUUUUAAAAGAUUAAAUAGUUAAAUUCAAAUUGCCUAUAUGAGAUUAGUUUU
RNAcentral lists this long non-coding RNA (268 nucleotides) under Ananas comosus (pineapple). Its description in RNAcentral is "long non-coding RNA (ACOM_LNC031920)". The record is from RNAcentral. Lineage: Eukaryota; Viridiplantae; Streptophyta; Magnoliopsida; Poales; Bromeliaceae.